This 79-nucleotide transfer RNA is filed under the name Rattus norvegicus (Norway rat). It matches the Rfam family "tRNA", at positions 1 to 62 of the family's 71-position model. From Rfam's summary of the family: Transfer RNA (tRNA) molecules are approximately 80 nucleotides in length. Their secondary structure includes four short double-helical elements and three loops (D, anti-codon, and T loops). Further hydrogen bonds mediate the characteristic L-shaped molecular structure. tRNAs have two regions of fundamental functional importance: the anti-codon, which is responsible for specific mRNA codon recognition, and the 3' end, to which the tRNAs corresponding amino acid is attached (by aminoacyl-tRNA synthetases). tRNAs cope with the degeneracy of the genetic code in two manners: having more than one tRNA (with a specific anti-codon) for a particular amino acid; and 'wobble' base-pairing, i.e. permitting non-standard base-pairing at the 3rd anti-codon position. Lineage: Eukaryota; Metazoa; Chordata; Mammalia; Rodentia; Muridae. The record is from Rfam by way of RNAcentral.
GGGGAUUUAGCUCAGCGGUAGAGCGCUUGCCUAGCGAGCGAGCGAGCGAGCGAGCGCAAGGCCCUGGGUUCGGUCCCCA